Molecule: long non-coding RNA, 3901 nt
Filed under: Mus musculus (house mouse)
Lineage: Eukaryota; Metazoa; Chordata; Mammalia; Rodentia; Muridae
Description: long non-coding RNA chr13:89241583-89245484
Source: RNAcentral
UGCAAUCAUGAAGACCCAAGUUCAGAUCCUUACAAUUUGCUUAAAAGCUAGACAUAUAACAUUAGUGUUUUUAAUCUCAGUGCUGCUAUAGGGAAAAUACAGAUCAAGGUAGGAGAAACUCUAGAAACCCUUGGACCAGCUUUCUGAGCAGAAAAACAAUAAUGAAAAAAAAAAAAACUUCAACACAACCCCCCCACCAUCACCACCUCUGGCAAAGGUUUUCUUAUAUCAGAGAGGGGCAGAGUAGAUGGCAGUUCUUUGUUCAUCCUAGCUUGAUGGAUGGCAUGGUGGUCAAAGCUCUCUUAUGCUUAGGACUUAUAUUAAUCAAACCAAAUCAAAUCAAAUCAAACCAAAUCAAAUCAAAUCCAAGCAGCAUAACACAGAAGUGGGAAAAGAGGCAGAGACUUGAGACCUGCCAAGCCACCCACAGAGGUUCUCUCCAGGGCACCAUGCAGGCAGCUGAAGACACCUUUUGCUGCCAUGACAUCCAUCACAUAUGGAGGAUGUCACUGAAGGGCCCACCAGCUGCAUGGCAGGGGCCACCAUAAUGUCCAAAUGUGUGGUGACAGAUGGGAGAGAGAGAGAGAAGUGGAACAGCUUGAGCAUUAUGAAGAGAGAUGCAACUGGAGACUUUAGAAUAGAGAGGAAUAAUCUAUUCUGAGUGGCCAGCCCUGUCACUUGGGUCCAUGUUAAAGUCUCAGAGCUGCAACUGAAGGCCACAUCUGAAUUCAUGGCUACACAGCAGGAGGGAUUGGUGUUGAUGUCCAUGGUUGAUAUUACCACUGUAGAAAACACGGGGAUGUCUCUGGUCAGUUCAGCCACCAGGGACCACAUGAAUGUCCAGGAGCUGUGUAGAACUAACUCUGCCCCUUACCGGAUGCUGUGAUCUAGAAAUGUGCCACACCUCUCAUUAGCAUCUGCAUUGAAGAAAGCAGGUUCUACAUCUAACCAAGGCAGGAGAGUGGAGCUGGCCAUGGUGGCAAGGGUGGAUGAGCAAGCCCCAAGCUGACUUCCAACUAGCCUACCAUGGGAUGGCACAGGCACAGAGAUGAUAUGCCUUCCCUCUUUUCACUACUGUCAUUCAGGAAAGCUUCCGACAGGAUCUUGAGUUCAGGGGAGCUAGAAGUACCCAUCACCAGGUACAAUGCUCAGGAAAGUAGGCUCUGCACUUUACCCAAACAGCACAGUAGAGCUGACCCUGGUGGCAGGAAGAACAGUCUUGAGGGGGAGAGUGUGGGAGAGCUGGCCCUGACACUCUUCAGCAGUAAGGUGGCCUGGUUGCAUGGGUGGCAGCAGUCAGGAGAGCUGGCUCAUGAAAGCAUAUGAGCUGGCCCUAUUCAUCCCCACCUGCAGAACUUUGUUGAGUGGGCCCUGCACCUCACCUGAGCACCACAGUAGUGCUGGCCCUGGUCAAAGGAAAACAGGUGAGUCACCCCAAGGACAGAGAGAGGGAGAGAUGAGCCCACCACCCAUUUACUGUGAGGUGCUAUAGGUCUAGCGAUCUGGCCCUGGGGCUAUGAAGGUAGAUGAGCUGGUCCUUCCCAUGGGCAGUUGCAGCACUUGGAAGAGUGGCCCUACACUUCUGAGCAGCACAGUAGAGCUGACUCUGGUAAUAAGCAGGUGGUUACAGGCAAGCCAGCCUGACAAGAUCUGGGGAUAGUUGACCCCACUACUCCUCUACUAUGAGAUGGUCUGGAGGGGAAGUCCCCUCUGCCCCCUCUUCCCUUUCCACCUGACACAGUUUGGAGAGCUGACCCCAGGGUCAUGAGAUCAAAUGAGCUGGCCCUACUUCUUGACAGAGGCAGCUUUAAGGAGAGUGGACCCUGUAUUCCACCUGUGCAACACAGUGGAGCUAGCUCAAGAUGAGCUAGCUAGUCUGAAGGCAUGGAAGCAGAAGGGAUGACCCUGCUUUGUACAGAUGGCUGAAUUAUGUAGUUUAGCCAGAGCAGUGCUGAAGAACUCACCCUGGUGAUGCUGAUAAGGGAGAAACUGAGGCUGACCAGCUCAACUACCAACCAGACCGAAAUUUAAGGCCCUGAAUUGGCCCACCCCAAAACCUAUAUAAUCUGCAAAUGACUGGGGCAUGUGAAAGGGCCAGUCCUGCUGUUAAAAAGCUGUGAGAUCUCGAUGGCACAGGGCAACAACAGUAUAACUGGAAGAGGGUCUUAAAAUUGAUGGUGUCACAAAAGCAAGAGAUCUUGAACCAGACAAAUGAUUCAUUACAAUGAGUAUUUUUAAGUGAAGAUGUGUAGACAGAGGGAUAUACUGUGACACACUACAGCUUCCAUGAUGAGAUGAUAUCUAUGUUUGUUUUCAUUUUUGGGGUGUGUGUGUGUGUGUGUGUGUGUGUGUGUGUGUGUGUGUUUUAUUUUGGGUGGGGAAUGAAAGGGUAAAGUGCAGAUACGAGGGAUGGGGAGAUGAGCAGCGAGACCGAGGUACAAAAUAUGAAACUCACAAAUAAUCAAUAAAAAAGUUUAAAAAAAAAACCCUUCAAGCAAAUUAGAAUGUGCAAGGAAUUAUCUUCUAACCACAUGUUUCAUGGUAUAUGCACACCCAUUUUCACACUCAUUAACACACACACACAAGUACCAUGAUUUAACUUUUUUCAUUACCCAAGAACAAAUAAGUGUUCUCCUGUAAUACAACUUCUAGAUUGAAUGAUGUGUGCCUGCUCUUUUAGGCACCAUCAGAGACUUCAACUAUUGGCUUUGGCUGCACCUAUUCUCUGCUGUUCUGCAUUCUUUAUCAUGUUGGCAUCAGAGCAAGGAUCUUUCAGCCAUAUCCUCUUCCUAGUUUAAUACCAAUGUGGGAAAUGUAACUAUAACUAUCCUGAAACAUGGGCACCAUGCAAAAUUAUAUACUGAACUAAGAGACUUUACGAUUUAAUUGAUUUGUAUCCAGUAUCAUUAUAAUGGUUUGAAGUUGUCCAACAGCACUUAUAUAAUUGCUGACAUGCUUCUAGGAACAACUGAAGUUAAUCAGAAGCAACUUGCUCUCAUUUCAUCUAAGCUAUUCAUCUCCAGCUAUCUUCAGAUUUACCAGGCAUCAUUAAAUUUGACUAUUGAAAUAAAAGAGCUUAAGAUUACUCAUAAACAGGUCAGAGAAAAAUAGGAGCACAGUGACUGUAUUUUGUGCUUCCUAAUGUAUCAAUUAUGGAAAUCAAGGUUAAUUUAAGGUAAUCAUUGUCUGACCUCAUUACAUAUACAAGUUUAUAUGUCAAAAACAUAAUCAGACUCAGAGCGUUGCUCACUUACAAGUCUACAUGAAUUAGAGCAUUUUCUCUUCUCAGUUGGAUAUUUUAAGCAAGGGAGAAAUAGGCAAAUGAAUAAAACAUGGUAAUAGAGUGUAAUAAAGGAGAAAUUGAGACACAUCUGCUAAGAAAUAUCAUAGAUAGCAUACAGAUAUCACUGACCAUUAGAGUGACUUACCAGGAAAGAUUUUGAUAUUUUUAAUCCCUAAAGUAAUUAUGUGAUAAAUCUUACUGAGUUUGGAUUUUAUUAAAAAUUUUAAGAAUAUAUAAAAAUGGAUUAAAGUUUCAGCUUCCUAGAUUUAACAGUCAUUUUUAAUAUGUAACAGCUCAGCAGUUUUAAUGAUUAUCACCAAGUAAUUUUAGUCUUUAAAUUGAUAUAGAAAUAACUUCAGUUGGUACAGUUAUAUAUCAGGUACUGGUAUAAGGCACUAUGAAGCAAAAUUCGUGAAAUAAAUGCUUGAUUUUACAUUUUAGUCAUUUGUCCAUAAAAUAUGUGCUUAUGUGCAAACAUCAUGACUUCAGCUAGUGUCCCGCAACCCUCUGGGGAAGGGGUAAUGGAAGAAAAGCUGAAGAUUUUGCUAGAAUAAAUUGUACUUUUUGUAACAAACUCAAUACAACAUGCAUUUUGAGUACAUUUUGAGUCCUUCCUGC